RNAcentral lists this unclassified non-coding RNA (256 nucleotides) under Hevea brasiliensis (rubber tree). The record is from RNAcentral. Lineage: Eukaryota; Viridiplantae; Streptophyta; Magnoliopsida; Malpighiales; Euphorbiaceae.
CCAUCAUUAGGUCCUUGACGUGUCCACAAAUGAGCUCUUCACAUAUCAAAUGAAAAGGAACUCUCUCCCUUUCUCCGUAAGAAUAGUGGCGUCUGCCGCCUGGGUGUUGUAGUCACCAGAGACUCUGGGCCCUGAAAUGACCUAUAAUAGAAAAUCUUCGAAAUUACUAUAUUGUCCCCAACAGACGAUCGUAGACGGCUUUUCAAAGGAAAAGCAACACGAGAAGCGAGCAAACCCAAAUAAAAGGUGGUUUUCU